This is a small nucleolar RNA of Suncus etruscus (white-toothed pygmy shrew), 136 nucleotides long. RefSeq annotates it as small nucleolar RNA SNORA51. The record is from RefSeq and is a predicted model, not a curated record. NCBI's taxonomy places the organism in Eukaryota, Metazoa, Chordata, Mammalia, Eulipotyphla, Soricidae. The transcript has a single exon.
UGCCUCCCAAUUCUGGUACCACAGGCUGCGUUCUUUACCACCGACUGUAUAGAAAGAGAAGGUACAGUGAAAUGAACUCCAUAUAAACCUCAACACAGGCCCAUUGCCUGGUUGUAUUGUGAAUGGGGGGACAAAA